Molecule: long non-coding RNA, 412 nt
Organism: Nematostella vectensis (starlet sea anemone)
Lineage: Eukaryota; Metazoa; Cnidaria; Anthozoa; Actiniaria; Edwardsiidae
Exons: 3
Source: RefSeq, a predicted model, not a curated record
UACAGUGAAGUGUAUACCUCGCACGUGAUGACUAAGUAUUCACACUGUCGUAAAACUGAGCCCCACAUUAUUUGAUGCACUCGACUCAACAUUAUGCUGCUAAACUUGCUGGAGCUAUUUUUAUAACUUCACAUAUACACAGUGGCAACUAUAUUGCGUUCGGAAGGUCCAGGCUUACUCAAAAGGCCAACUUAUACCUUUCCUCACGCGUUGGAAGCGUACGCACAGCAAACAGAAACUCCACAUUUCGUAUCGAAAAAGUUGACUUUGCUAGAUGAUCAUCUGUUGGAGGCCAGAAUGUCCAAACUAACAGUGAUUUUUUUCUCAGAGAACAGCUCUACCAAACAGCAUAUUUUGUCUGAUUAGCCUAUGAAAAAUAUUUAUCAAAAUUAAAAGUAUAAAAACAUUAAAA